RNAcentral lists this ribosomal RNA (253 nucleotides) under uncultured bacterium. RNAcentral describes it as "partial 16S ribosomal RNA". It matches the Rfam family "Bacterial small subunit ribosomal RNA", at positions 524 to 776 of the family's 1533-position model. The record is from RNAcentral.
UACGUAGGUGGCAAGCGUUGUCCGGAUUUAUUGGGUUUAAAGGGUGCGUAGGUGGCCCUGUAAGUCAGUGGUGAAAUAUGUCAGCUUAACUGAGAGGAUGCCAUUGAUACUGCAGGGCUUGAGUACAGAUGAGGUAGGCGGAAUUGACGGUGUAGCGGUGAAAUGCAUAGAUAUCGUCAAGAACACCGAUAGCGAAGGCAGCUUACCAAGCUGUAACUGACACUGAGGCACGAAAGUGUGGGGAUCAAACAGG